Molecule: ribosomal RNA, 253 nt
Filed under: uncultured bacterium
Lineage: Bacteria
Description: partial 16S ribosomal RNA
Rfam family: Bacterial small subunit ribosomal RNA
Source: RNAcentral
GACAGAGGGUGCAAACGUUGUUCGGAUUUACUGGGCGUAAAGCGCGUGUAGGCGGCUUUGCAAGUCGGAUGUGAAAGCCCACGGCUCAACCGUGGAAGUGCAUCCGAAACUGCAUGGCUCGAGUCUCGGAGAGGAAGGUGGAAUGCUUGGUGUAGAGGUGAAAUUCGUAGAUAUCAUGAGGAAUACCAGAGGCGAAGGCGGCUACCUGGACAAUUGCUGACGCUCAGGCACGAAAGCGUGGGGAGCAAAAGGG